GACGAACGCUGGCGGCGUGCUUAACACAUGCAAGUCGAGCGGUAAGGCCCUUUCGGGGGUACGACGAGCGGCGAACGGGUGAGUAACACGUGGGUGACCUGCCCUCAGCUCUGGGAUAAGCCUGGGAAACCGGGUCUAAUACUGGAUAUGACUCCAUGACGCAUGUUGUGGGGUGGAAAGCCUUGUGCGGCUGAGGAUGGGCCCGCGGCCUAUCAGCUUGUUGGGUGGGGUGAGGCCUACCAAGGCGACGACGGGUAGCCGGCCUGAGAGGGCGACCGGCCACACUGGGACUGAGACACGGCCCAGACUCCUACGGGAGGCAGCAGUGGGGAAUCUUGCGCAAUGGGCGAAAGCCUGACGCAGCGACGCCGCGUGAGGGAUGAC
This 384-nucleotide ribosomal RNA is filed under the name uncultured bacterium. Its description in RNAcentral is "bacterial SSU rRNA". It matches the Rfam family "Bacterial small subunit ribosomal RNA", at positions 28 to 412 of the family's 1533-position model. The record is from RNAcentral.